GAUGAACGCUGGCGGCGUGCCUAAUACAUGCAAGUCGAGCGAACGGACGAGAAGCUUGCUUCUCUGAUGUUAGCGGCGGACGGGUGAGUAACACGUGGAUAACCUACCUAUAAGACUGGGAUAACUUCGGGAAACCGGAGCUAAUACCGGAUAAUAUUUUGAACCGCAUGGUUCAAAAGUGAAAGACGGUCUUGCUGUCACUUAUAGAUGGAUCCGCGCUGCAUUAGCUAGUUGGUAAGGUAACGGCUUACCAAGGCAACGAUGCAUAGCCGACCUGAGAGGGUGAUCGGCCACACUGGAACUGAGACACGGUCCAGACUCCUACGGGAGGCAGCAGUAGGGAAUCUUCCGCAAUGGGCGAAAGCCUGACGGAGCAACGCCGCGUGAGUGAUGAAGGUCUUCGGAUCGUAAAACUCUGUUAUUAGGAAGAACAUAUGUGUAAGUAACUGUGCACAUCUUGACGGUACCUAAUCAGAAAGCCACGGCUAACUACGUG
This 496-nucleotide ribosomal RNA is filed under the name uncultured bacterium. Its description in RNAcentral is "partial 16S ribosomal RNA". It matches the Rfam family "Bacterial small subunit ribosomal RNA", at positions 28 to 507 of the family's 1533-position model. The record is from RNAcentral.